UACGUAGGGUGCAAGCGUUAAUCGGAAUUACUGGGCGUAAAGCGUGCGCAGGCGGUUUUGUAAGUCUGUCGUGAAAUCCCCGGGCUCAACCUGGGAAUUGCGAUGGAGACUGCAAGGCUAGAAUCUGGCAGAGGGGGGUAGAAUUCCACGUGUAGCAGUGAAGUGCGUAGAGAUGUGGAGGAACACCGAUGGCGAAGGCAGCCCCCUGGGUCAAGAUUGACGCUCAUGCACGAAAGCGUGGGGAGCAAACAGG
RNAcentral lists this ribosomal RNA (253 nucleotides) under uncultured bacterium. RNAcentral's name for it is "partial 16S ribosomal RNA". It matches the Rfam family "Bacterial small subunit ribosomal RNA", at positions 524 to 776 of the family's 1533-position model. The record is from RNAcentral.